AUUGAACGCUGGCGGCAUGCCUUACACAUGCAAGUCGAACGGCAGCGGACCUUCGGGUGCCGGCGAGUGGCGAACGGGUGAGUAAAGUAUCGGAACGUACCUUUCAGUGGGGGAUAACGUAGCGAAAGUUACGCUAAUACCGCAUAUUCUCUGAGGAGGAAAGCAGGGGACCUUCGGGCCUUGCGCUGAUAGAUCGGCCGAUAUCAGAUUAGCUAGUUGGUGGGGUAAAGGCCUACCAAGGCGACGAUCUGUAGCGGGUCUGAGAGGAUGAUCCGCCACACUGGGACUGAGACACGGCCCAGACUCCUACGGGAGGCAGCAGUGGGGAAUUUUGGACAAUGGGCGAAAGCCUGAUCCAGCCAUGCCGCGUGAGUGAAGAAGGCCUUCGGGUUGUAAAGCUCUUUCGGCCGGGAAGAAAUCGUGUGGGCUAAUACCCUACAUGGAUGACGGUACCGGAAUAAGAAGCACCGGCUAACUACGUGCCAGCAGCCGCCGUAA
This 498-nucleotide ribosomal RNA is filed under the name uncultured bacterium. RNAcentral describes it as "partial 16S ribosomal RNA". It matches the Rfam family "Bacterial small subunit ribosomal RNA", at positions 30 to 523 of the family's 1533-position model. The record is from RNAcentral.